UACAGAGGUCCCAAGCGUUGUUCGGAUUCACUGGGCGUAAAGGGUGCGUAGGUGGCAUGGUAAGUCGGAUGUGAAAUCUCCGAGCUCAACUCGGAAAUGGCAUUGGAAACUGCCGUGCUCGAGGGUUGGAGGGGGGACUGGAAUGCUUGGUGUAGCAGUGAAAUGCGUAGAUAUCAAGCGGAACACCAGUGGCGAAGGCGAGUCCCUGGACAACUCCUGACACUGAGGCACGAAAGCUAGGGGAGCAAACAGG
This 253-nucleotide ribosomal RNA is filed under the name uncultured bacterium. RNAcentral describes it as "partial 16S ribosomal RNA". It matches the Rfam family "Bacterial small subunit ribosomal RNA", at positions 524 to 776 of the family's 1533-position model. The record is from RNAcentral.